Molecule: non-coding RNA, 512 nt
Organism: Paralichthys olivaceus (Japanese flounder)
Lineage: Eukaryota; Metazoa; Chordata; Actinopteri; Pleuronectiformes; Paralichthyidae
Source: RefSeq, a predicted model, not a curated record
GGUUGACUUGCAGUGAUCUGUGCUCUCAGGCUGAGCAUCGCUUCCUUAAACAGUCAUAUGACAGCGCAGACAAUCUGGCGGAAGAAAGAGACGUCAGCGCUUGUUUUCGGCCCUGCGCACAUAGAGCAGGCUGCCGGUCCGCCCCUGUCUGAGUGCUACGGAAACUUCGCAGGGGGCGUUGGUGAAUGACUGCUCUUUCGUGCGUUGACGUAAAUCAGACUGCAUUUUUUUUUGGUACCGAGCGGAGAGGAGAUGCACACGGCACUCGAGUGAGACACUGGCUUGAUACAGACAUAAGGCGGAUGUGUGUGGUCGUGUGAGAAUCAUAUGAAGCAGCUUAAGGUCAAAGACAUUUUUCCCCCAACUGAGAAAUAACAAGAUUCCUGUCAUCAUCAACAUGGGAAAAGACAGGGAAAAUAUUUUUGAGUGCAUGUCUCAGAAGAGUUGGAAAACCCCCAUACACAGUAGCACCAGUACUGGAGAGCCAGGCAGGAGGAAAAGUAUUCUGGUGA